CGAGAUACGUUGGCCAUUUUCUCAACGAAGGCCCACGGCUCCAGGUGUGCAUGCACAGAACACGCAGUGCCAUUAUUCAUUCACCUGAUGAAGACCAGUCCUGCUGUAGAUUACCAUUCUAUAAUGAGAGGUCUGGUGACUUGAUGGAAAGAGCAGCAGUCUACAAACUACGAGGUCCUGGGUUCAAGACCCAAUGCUUCUAUUGUGUGCCAGUCAGCAGUGGUUGUUAACAUAGGAUGGUGGACCAGUGAAGGCAAUGCUCAUGAUGAAAAGGUGCCAUUAUUCAUUUACUUGACGGAGACCAGUCCUGCUGUAGAUUACCAUUCUAUAAUGAGAGGUCUGGUGACUUGAUGGAAAGAGCAGCAGUCUACAAACCAUGAGGUCCUGGGUUCAAAACCAAGGUGCCAUGCUUCUAUUGUGUGCCAGUCAGCAGUGGUCCUUGAUAUUGGAUGGGUGGACCAGUGAUGGCAAUGCUCAGGGUUGAAAGGUGCCAUUCUUUAUGUACUUGAAGAAGACGAGUCCUGCUGUAGAUUACCAUUCUAUAAUGUGAGGUCUGGUGACUUGAUGGAAAGAGCAGCACUCUACAAACUACGAGGUCCUGGGUUCAAAACCAAGGUGUCAUGCUUCAAUUGUGUGUUUCCUAGGUCAGUCAGCAGCAGUCGUGAACAUCGGAUGAAGGUCCCAAUGCUCAGGAUUGAAGGUUAUAAAUAGCCAAGAUCUUCAUCUAUUGAUGUGGAAUCCAGUCCUGUCCUGUCCCAUCUUGUGUUGUAGAUUCAGAAUUGAGAGUUGGUUUAGAAGUCAACUUGGUCGAUGAAGUCUACGGAACUUGCUGGGAAAAAAGCUAUCUCAACAUCUCUCUUGGUUUGAUGGAAAACCUGUCUUUGGGCAGAUUCAACCAUGAGUGGGUGUGCUGACUCUGUAGUUAGAGCAGUGGUCUGGAAAUUAGGAGAUCCUGGUUUCAAACCAAGUCAGUGUGCCUCUGUCUUGAAGAUCAGAAAAGACUCUGGCAGUGUUUGAAUCAGCAGAGAAGACGAACAGCCCAACAGAAGACGUGUACAAGAAAUGGCUCCAAAGACCUAUGAUGCUUUAGAGGUUUGAAGGAAGAUGUAGAGAAGAUUUGGCUCCUAAGGAAGAGACCAUCGACUACUAAGGGAGAGAUCAUCAUCGAGAGAUCAGAAAAGACUUUGGCAGUGUUUGAAUCAGCAGAGAAGACGAAUAGCCCAACAGAAGACGUACAAGAAAUGGCUCCUGAGACCCAUGAUGCUUAGACGUCUGAAGGAAGACGUAGAGAAGAAUUUGGCCCCUAAGGAAGAGACCAUCAUCGAGGUUGAAAUGACUGAACGUAUGUCUGACAAGACCAUCAUCAGCGUGCAUGUGAACCCCCUACUCCACCUGAAGGUGCUGAUACAGUCUACCGGUUAGAUGGUUCUUCUGGACAAACUAUUGCCAUAGCUCAAGGAAGGUGGCCACAAGAUGAUCCGCUGUCUGGAUAUCCUGAAAGACUACCUCACCCAGAAAAGGUAUCUCUUUGAGAGGAUCGACGGCCGAGUAAGAGGCAACUACACGAGACAAGCUGCUAUAGCUAGGUUCAGUAAACCAGAUUCCGAUCGCUUUGUGUUCCUACUGUGCACCUGAGCUGGUGGUCUAGGAAUCAACCUGACAGCGGCCGAUACCUGCAUCAUCUUUGACUCGGACUCGAAUCCUUAGAAUGAUAUCCAGACUCUGAUCGCUUUGUGUUCCUACUGUGCACCUGAGCUGGUGGUCUCAGAAUCAACCUGACAGCGGCCGAUACUUAUCUGCAUCAUCUUCGACUCUGACUCUAAUCCUUAGAAUGAUAUCCAGACGGAGAUGAAGAAGAUCCUAGGUUAAAGGUCAGAGAGACGUUUUACCCGGCUAUCUCCCAUGUCAAAUCAAAGAACGCCCUUGGCAUUUGGAAUAUUGGUCUGGAGUGGUGCAUGAGCAAUGAUACUGAAAUGAUGCAGAAUAUAUUUGAGGGUAUAUUACUCCUCGCUGUGAUUUCUCUAAAUGGAGAAGUGGCUUCAAGAAUGUAGCUGGAACCAGGUCAAUACUGCUCUGAGUGAUAUUGGAAUGGAGAAGAGUCCACAAGAAUUCGGGAAAGGACUUGAAUGAAACCAGAUUGGUGAUGUAAACAGAGAUAUGGAGACAUGGUUAUCAUCGUUUGCAUUGCUGGCCGUAGGAUAGAGUGACUGUUUACCUGAUGCCCUUUAUUGCCAUUUUUCAAAUAUAAUACUUCUGUUUCUGUAAAGUGCCUCAUAUACAUUAUGGAUUAUUAUGGCACAAUCCAAAGUAGUAUUAGUAGUAUAUUU
This 2327-nucleotide long non-coding RNA is filed under the name Strongylocentrotus purpuratus (purple sea urchin). Its description in RNAcentral is "uncharacterized LOC105439534, transcript variant X8". The record is from RNAcentral. Lineage: Eukaryota; Metazoa; Echinodermata; Echinoidea; Camarodonta; Strongylocentrotidae.